GACAGAGGUGGCAAGCGUUGUUCGGAUUCAUUGGGUGUAAAGGGUCCGUAGGUGGCCCGGUAAGUCCGGCGUGAAAUCCCAGAGCUCAACUCUGGAACUGCGUCGGAAACUAUCGGGCUUGAGUGCCGGAGAGGUUAGGGGAAUUCCAGGUGUAAGGGUGAAAUCUGUAGAUAUCUGGAGGAACACCAGUGGCGAAGGCGCCUAACUGGCCGGUUACUGACACUGAGGGACGAAAGCAAGGGGAGCAAACAGG
This 253-nucleotide ribosomal RNA is filed under the name uncultured bacterium. RNAcentral describes it as "partial 16S ribosomal RNA". It matches the Rfam family "Bacterial small subunit ribosomal RNA", at positions 524 to 776 of the family's 1533-position model. The record is from RNAcentral.